GACGAACGCUGGCGGCGUGCUUAACACAUGCAAGUCGAACGGAAAGGCCCUGCUUUUGUGGGGUGCUCGAGUGGCGAACGGGUGAGUAACACGUGAGUAACCUGCCCUUGACUUUGGGAUAACUUCAGGAAACUGGGGCUAAUACCUGAUAGGAGCUCCUGCUGCAUGGUGGGGGUUGGAAAGUUUCGGCGGUUGGGGAUGGACUCGCGGCUUAUCAGCUGGUUGGUUGGGUAGUGGCUUACCAAGGCUUUGACGGGUAGGCGGCCUGAGAGGGUGACCGGGCCCAUGGGGACUGAGAUACGGACCAGAGGCCUACGGGAGGCAGCAGUGGGGAAUAUUGCACAACGGGGGGAAGCGUGAGGUAGCAACGCCGCGUGCGGGAUGACGGCCUUCGGGUAGCAAACCGCUUUGGCCUGUGACGAAGCGUGAGUGACGGUAAUGGGUAAAGAAGCACCGGCUAACUACGUG
This 468-nucleotide ribosomal RNA is filed under the name uncultured bacterium. Its description in RNAcentral is "partial 16S ribosomal RNA". It matches the Rfam family "Bacterial small subunit ribosomal RNA", at positions 28 to 507 of the family's 1533-position model. The record is from RNAcentral.